CUUUGUUUAUGUAACCGGAACCUUCUGGAAAGUUGGGCGAUAUGGGUGAUAGCCCCGUACGGAUACAGCAUAUUCAAAGUCCUUGAGUAGGGCGGAACACGUGAAAUUCUGUCUGAAUGUGGGGCGACCACGCUCCAAGCCUAAGUACUCCUAUGCGACCGAUAGUGAACCAGUACCGU
RNAcentral lists this ribosomal RNA (179 nucleotides) under Cyclophora tenuis. Its description in RNAcentral is "partial Bacterial large subunit ribosomal RNA". It matches the Rfam family "Bacterial large subunit ribosomal RNA", at positions 318 to 504 of the family's 2925-position model. Lineage: Eukaryota; Bacillariophyta; Fragilariophyceae; Cyclophorales; Cyclophoraceae. The record is from RNAcentral.